CGCCUGGCGACCUUAGCGCGCGGGAACCACCCGACCCCAUCCCGAACUCGACCGUGAAACCGCGCCGCACCUAUGAUCGUGUGAGCAUUACUCACGCUAAAGUCGGCCAUCGCCAGGCU
This 119-nucleotide ribosomal RNA is filed under the name Candidatus Contendibacter odensensis. Lineage: Bacteria; Pseudomonadati; Pseudomonadota; Gammaproteobacteria; Candidatus Competibacteraceae. The record is from RNAcentral.